Molecule: ribosomal RNA, 512 nt
Filed under: uncultured bacterium
Lineage: Bacteria
Description: partial 16S ribosomal RNA
Rfam family: Bacterial small subunit ribosomal RNA
Source: RNAcentral
GACGAACGCUGGCGGCGUGCCUAAUACAUGCAAGUCGAGCGAACCAAUAGGAGCUUGCUCCUGUUGGUUAGCGGCGGACGGGUGAGUAACACGUGGGCAACCUGCCUGUAAGACUGGGAUAACACCGGGAAACCGGUGCUAAUACCGGAUAAUCUUUUUCCUCUCAUGAGGAAAAACUGAAAGUCGGUUUCGGCUGACACUUACAGAUGGGCCCGCGGCGCAUUAGCUAGUUGGUGAGGUAACGGCUCACCAAGGCGACGAUGCGUAGCCGACCUGAGAGGGUGAUCGGCCACACUGGGACUGGGACACGGCCUAGACUCCUACGGGAGGCAGCAGUAGGGAGUCUUCCACAAUGGACGAAAGUCUGAUGGAGCAACGCCGCGUGAGCGAUGAAGGCCUUCGGGUCGUAAAGCUCUGUUGUUAGGGAAGAACAAGUACCGGAGUAACUGCCGGUGCCUUGACGGUACCUAACCAGAAAGCCACGGCUAACUACGUGCCAGCCGCCGCGGUAA